Long non-coding RNA from Ictalurus punctatus (channel catfish), 704 nucleotides. The record is from Ensembl. NCBI's taxonomy places the organism in Eukaryota, Metazoa, Chordata, Actinopteri, Siluriformes, Ictaluridae.
GUCUUACAGCUCAGUAGUACUAGUUACUAGGGGAUGUCACUACAACUAAGGGAGCAUCCUUCCAUCCAUCCAUCCAUCCAUCCAUCCAUCCAUCCAUCCAUUUCCUUCUACACAGGGAGCAUGGAGCCUAUACCAAGGGACUUGGAGCAUAAAGUGGGGAACACCGUGGGCAACCCACUGCAGGGUCAGGUUUUUUUGAUUCCAUGGGAAGAAGUUUACAACAAUUUUUCAACAGUUUGAUGGCGAGCCACCCAACCAGAACCACUGUGUCUUGAAGGACGGGAUUUAAAAUUUUUUAUUAUUUUGGCUUUUCUGCAAAGUACUACAAAUGAAAAUACUCUAGAGGAGUGCCUUCAUUCAGAGUAAAAGAAAUUGUAGAGACCUUGAAAAAGACAUUUUAAUUUUGGAUGUGAUUUUUAUUUUAUUUAAGUUUUGUUAUUUUCCGUGUAUGUAUAUAUUUUAUUUUAGGCUUAACUUGGAGGGUGCAUCCUAGGAUAUUAUAUAUGUAUUGUUUAAUUUCACUCACUCUAAAUUGUAUAUAAAUCAUUCUAUAUUUACCUUUAUAAGUUGUGCUGUCACUGUUAUUGUUUCAAUCCACUACCUCCUACGUACCCUUUAGUCUUCUGAUAUCUGGUCUACACAUCAUCUAUAUAGUACAUAUUUAAUAUAUGCUACAUUUACCUAUGAUUUUAUGAACAUAAUUG